Molecule: ribosomal RNA, 2960 nt
Filed under: Proteus mirabilis
Lineage: Bacteria; Pseudomonadati; Pseudomonadota; Gammaproteobacteria; Enterobacterales; Morganellaceae
Description: 23S ribosomal RNA
Rfam family: Bacterial large subunit ribosomal RNA
Source: RNAcentral
GGGUUGUGAGGUUAAGCGAAUAAGCGUACACGGUGGAUGCCUAGGCAAUCAGAGGCGAUGAAGGACGUGCUAAUCUGCGAAAAGCGUCGGUAAGGUGAUAUGAACCGUUAUACCCGACGAUAUCCGAAUGGGGAAACCCAGUAUCCAAUGGAUACUAUCAUUAACUGAAUCCAUAGGUUAAUGAGGCGAACCGGGAGAACUGAAACAUCUCAGUACCCCGAGGAAAAGAAAUCAACCGAGAUUCCCCUAGUAGCGGCGAGCGAACGGGGAGCAGCCCAGAGUCUUAAUCAAUAGCAGUGUCAGGAGAACGGUCUGGAAAGUCCGGCAGUAAAGGGUGAUAGCCCCGUAUCUGAAGAUGCUGUUAUUGUGAACUCGACGAGUAGGGCGGGACACGUGUUAUCCUGUCUGAAUAUGGGGGGACCAUCCUCCAAGGCUAAAUACUCCUGAUUGACCGAUAGUGAACCAGUACCGUGAGGGAAAGGCGAAAAGAACCCCGGCGAGGGGAGUGAAAAAGAACCUGAAACCGUGUACGUACAAGCAGUAGGAGCCNNNNNNNNNNNNNNNNNNNNNNNNNNNNNNNNNAUGGGGUGACUGCGUACCUUUUGUAUAAUGGGUCAGCGACUUAUAUUCUGUAGCGAGGUUAACCGUAUAGGGGAGCCGUAGGGAAACCGAGUCUUAACUGGGCGAAUGAGUUGCAGGGUAUAGACCCGAAACCCGGUGAUCUAUCCAUGGGCAGGUUGAAGGUUGGGUAACACUAACUGGAGGACCGAACCGACUAAUGUUGAAAAAUUAGCGGAUGACUUGUGGAUGGGGGUGAAAGGCCAAUCAAACCGGGAGAUAGCUGGUUCUCCCCGAAAGCUAUUUAGGUAGCGCCUCGUGAACUCAUCUUCGGGGGUAGAGCACUGUUUCGACUAGGGGGUCAUCCCGACUUACCAACUCGAUGCAAACUGCGAAUACCGAAGAAUGUUAUCACGGGAGACACACGGCGGGUGCUAACGUCCGUCGUGAAGAGGGAAACAACCCAGACCGCCAGCUAAGGUCCCAAAGUCAUGGUUAAGUGGGAAACGAAGUGGGAAGGCUCAGACAGCCAGGAUGUUGGCUUAGAAGCAGCCAUCAUUUAAAGAAAGCGUAAUAGCUCACUGGUCGAGUCGGCCCGCGCGGAAGAUGUAACGGGGCUAAACCAUGCACCGAAGCUGCGGCAGCGACACAAAGUGUUGUUGGGUAGGGGAGCGUUCUGUAAGCCUGCGAAGGUGUACUGUGAGGUAUGCUGGAGGUAUCAGAAGUGCGAAUGCUGACAUAAGUAACGAUAAUGCGGGUGAAAAACCCGCACGCCGGAAGACCAAGGGUUCCUGUCCAACGUUAAUCGGGGCAGGGUGAGUCGACCCCUAAGGCGAGGCUGAAAAGCGUAGUCGAUGGGAAACGGGUUAAUAUUCCCGUACUGGUGGUAACUGCGAUGGGGGAACGGAGAAGGCUAGGUUGUCCGGGCGACGGUCGUCCCGGUUCAAGCAGGUAGGCAGAGUGAUUAGGCAAAUCCGGUCACUUAAUGCUGAGAUGUGAUGACGAACCACCAAGGUGGUGAAGCAAUUGAUGCCCCGCUUCCAGGAAAAGCCUCUAAGCUUCAGGUUACCAACAAUCGUACCCCAAACCGACACAGGUGGUCAGGUAGAGAAUACUCAGGCGCUUGAGAGAACUCGGGUGAAGGAACUAGGCAAAAUGGUGCCGUAACUUCGGGAGAAGGCACGCUGGCGGUAGGUAAAGUCCCUCGCGGACGGCGCUGAAGCCAGUCGAAGAUACCAGCUGGCUGCAACUGUUUAUUAAAAACACAGCACUGUGCAAACACGAAAGUGGACGUAUACGGUGUGACGCCUGCCCGGUGCUGGAAGGUUAAUUGAUGGGGUCAGCCGCAAGGCGAAGCUCCUGAUCGAAGCCCCAGUAAACGGCGGCCGUAACUAUAACGGUCCUAAGGUAGCGAAAUUCCUUGUCGGGUAAGUUCCGACCUGCACGAAUGGCGUAAUGAUGGCCAGGCUGUCUCCACCCGAGACUCAGUGAAAUUGAACUCGCUGUGAAGAUGCAGUGUACCCGCGGCAAGACGGAAAGACCCCGUGAACCUUUACUAUAGCUUGACACUGAACAUUGAGCCUUGAUGUGUAGGAUAGGUGGGAGGCUUUGAAGUGUGGACGCCAGUCUGCAUGGAGCCAACCUUGAAAUACCACCCUUUAACGUUUGAUGUUCUAACCUAGGCCCAUAAACUGGGUCGGGGACCGUGUCUGGUGGGUAGUUUGACUGGGGCGGUCUCCUCCUAAAGAGUAACGGAGGAGCACGAAGGUUGGCUAAGCAUGGUCGGACAUCAUGCGGUUAGUGCAAAGGCAUAAGCCAGCUUGACUGCGAGAGUGACGGCUCGAGCAGGUACGAAAGUAGGUCUUAGUGAUCCGGUGGUUCUGAAUGGAAGGGCCAUCGCUCAACGGAUAAAAGGUACUCCGGGGAUAACAGGCUGAUACCGCCCAAGAGUUCAUAUCGACGGCGGUGUUUGGCACCUCGAUGUCGGCUCAUCACAUCCUGGGGCUGAAGUAGGUCCCAAGGGUAUGGCUGUUCGCCAUUUAAAGUGGUACGCGAGCUGGGUUUAGAACGUCGUGAGACAGUUCGGUCCCUAUCUGCCGUGGGCGUUGGAAGAUUGAGAGGGGUUGCUCCUAGUACGAGAGGACCGGAGUGAACGCACCACUGGUGUUCGGGUUGUCAUGCCAAUGGCAUUGCCCGGUAGCUAAGUGCGGAAGAGAUAACCGCUGAAAGCAUCUAAGCGGGAAACUUGCCUCGAGAUGAGUCUUCCCUGUCGCUUUAAGCGACCUAAAGGAACGUUUAAGACUAAGACGUUGAUAGGCUGGGUGUGUAAGCGUAGCGAUACGUUGAGCUAACCAGUACUAAUGAACCGUGAGGCUUAACCUGACAACACCGAAAGUGUUUUG